Molecule: ribosomal RNA, 513 nt
Filed under: uncultured bacterium
Lineage: Bacteria
Description: partial 16S ribosomal RNA
Rfam family: Bacterial small subunit ribosomal RNA
Source: RNAcentral
GACGAACGCUGGCGGCAUGCCUAAUACAUGCAAGUCGAGCGAACAGAUGAAGUGCUUGCACUUCUGACGUUAGCGGCGAACGGGUGAGUAACACGUAAGGAAUCUACCUAUAAGCGGGGGAUAACAUUCGGAAACGGGUGCUAAUACCGCAUAAUAUCUUCUUCCGCAUGGAAGAAGAUUGAAAGACGGCUCUGCUGUCACUUAUAGAUGACCUUGCGGUGCAUUAGUUAGUUGGUGGGGUAACGGCCUACCAAGACGAUGAUGCAUAGCCGACCUGGGAGGGUGAUCGGCCACAUGGGGACUGAGACACGGCCCAAACUCCUACGGGAGGCAGCAGUAGGGAAUCUUCCGCAAUGGGCGAAAGCCUGACGGAGCAAUGCCGCGUGAGUGAAGAAGGCCUUCGGGUCGUAAAACUCUGUUAUAAGAGAAGAACAAGUUGUAGAGUAACUGCUACAGUCUUGACGGUAUCUUAUCAGAAAGCCACGGCUAACUACGUGCCAGCAGCCGCGGUAA